Molecule: ribosomal RNA, 253 nt
Filed under: uncultured bacterium
Lineage: Bacteria
Description: partial 16S ribosomal RNA
Rfam family: Bacterial small subunit ribosomal RNA
Source: RNAcentral
UACGUAGGGUGCGAGCGUUGUCCGGAAUUAUUGGGCGUAAAGAGCUCGUAGGCGGUUCGUCGCGUCGAAUGUGAAAACCCGGGGCUCAACUCCGGGCCUGCAUUCGAUACGGGCGGACUAGAGUUCGGUAGGGGAGACUGGAAUUCCUGGUGUAGCGGUGAAAUGCGCAGAUAUCAGGAGGAACACCGGUGGCGAAGGCGGGUCGCUGGGCCGGACCUGACGCUGAGGCGCGAAGGCGUGGGGAGCGAACGGG